UACGUAGGUGGCAAGCGUUAUUCGGAAUUAUUGGGCGUAAAGCGCGCGUAGGCGGUUUUUUAAGUCUGAUGUGAAAGCCCACGGCUCAACCGUGGAGGGUCAUUGGAAACUGGAAAACUUGAGUGCAGAAGAGGAAAGUGGAAUUCCAUGUGUAGCGGUGAAAUGCGCAGAGAUAUGGAGGAACACCAGUGGCGAAGGCGGCUUUCUGGUCUGUAACUGACGCUGAUGUGCGAAAGCGUGGGGAUCAAACAGG
RNAcentral lists this ribosomal RNA (253 nucleotides) under uncultured bacterium. Its description in RNAcentral is "partial 16S ribosomal RNA". It matches the Rfam family "Bacterial small subunit ribosomal RNA", at positions 524 to 776 of the family's 1533-position model. The record is from RNAcentral.